CAUAAUUUGAUUUUGAUUUUAUAUUCCUGAAAUUUAAAUAUAUUGAUUUGAAUAUGCCCAAUUUGACGUAUUUUACCGGCUUUUAUGGUGCUUCAGAAAAAACUUGCAGAACACAGUAACUUAUCUUUUUCACGAAUCAGAUUGUCUUAAAACUUGCUAGAGGUGUUAAAUAUUGUGCAUGGGACUGUUGUUUGUGAAUAGCUACGCAAAAUAAUAAGAUUUACACGCUCUGAAAAUCACCUUUUUGUCUAAAAAUCUACGAAAAACAUGGCCGCGGUGCGCAAAUAAUGAGUUGGUUAUUUCAAAAAUGUCCUAUUAUUCUUCAGUAAAACUUCUUGUUAAUUUAAGACUCUAAUAACUUGCUUGACAUACCCAUAGGCAAAUAUCUGUUAUCGGUGUAAUUACACCUUUGGAAAAAAAGCGUGAUUCGCACGUUUUAAUUUCAUCAUUCGCCGCCUGAAGAGACAAGAUGGCGGAGCUUGCGAAAUCGAAAAUUGGUACUUGAAAGUCAAUGGUUGAUCAUGAUGACCAUCUUUAAUUUAAUGGGGAAAGAUUAACCAAUAUUUGCAGCUGGAGAGGCUAUCACCACAGUUCAAUGAUUUAGUUAAGACAAUGAAAUAGAAGAACUUCAUGCUAACACUUGCAUCAGUGGAAGUACUUCUUAUUGGAUAGAGAACUUUACAAGGUCAGCCAUCAGCUUUUGAAGUUGCUUUCUUGGCACAUCAUGCUGUCCAGUGGAGUUCAUACCAUAUGCCAGGCCUUUAUACAUGGUCAAAGAAGAUGAAUUUGUUAUUCAAUUUGUGAAAUUUGAUUUAAGGAGGACUUUCAUAUAUGAUGAUUAUAUUCAGCAGAUUAUCUUCAAGUGUGCACUUCAUAGAAUCACAGUUUCUAGGAGGUUUUCAGUUUAAAGUUAGAUUAAUUGAAAAAUACGUAAACCUAUCAUACUCACCAUGGCAUCGGCAUUGGCAUUACACCAGUUUUAAGUUUUUCUUACCAGUCCAUAUUUUAAAAGGACCUUUUGAAAGUAUUGAAACUUACAACAGUAAUUUAUCAUCAUUAUACCAUGUUUUAGGCAAAAGUACAUAACUCCAUCAAGGAUUUGACUGAACUAUGGCCCUUUGAAACUUUUGUCACUUGUUUAUAAUAAUAGUCUCUAUAGGCAAGAGUUAGUAACACUGUAGAGUAAUUUGGUUGAAUUAUGUCCCUUUUGGACUUUGAAAUUGGUUCAGUUUUUGUACAAGUACACAUUUUGACAUAUAGCUUUGAAUCUUUCAACACUAAGUCUUACCAUUACAAUAAUAUAACUUAAAAUAGUUGUUCAACAUCAUCACCCACAUCAUAUGACACAAGAUGCAUAACUCUUGCACCAAAAUUUAAUAAAUUAUGCCCUUUUUUGCUUAAAAUGUACUUGUAUAGUGUUUUGAUACACUUUAUCUUUUAUCUCUCAUAUUACAUAAUAUUUUAAAACAGACUUAGUUAUUAUGCAAUGUCUUCAUCAGCCAUUGGAGCCAUUAGUUGGUGUUUAGAUCCUAUAAUUGUAAAACAUAAAAUAAAUGUUGAAAGUUUCAUAAAAGAUCGUUUCUUUAAUAUGAUUUUCCAUAUAGAAUCUAACUCCCAUCCAGUUUAAACCCAUCCAGUUUGUUAAACACUUCUUGAAAAAUAUUUUUAAAGAGUCUUAGAGUUUCAUACCCGAUAACUAUAAUUGAGCCGCGCCAUGAGAAAAUCAACAUAGUGGGUUUGCGACUAGCCUGGAUCCGGACCAGACUGUGCAUCCGCGCAGUCUUGUCAGGAUCCAUGCUGUUCACUAACAGUUUCUCCAAUUCCAAUAGGCUUUAAAAGCGAACAGCAUGGAUCCUGACCAGAAUGUGCGAAUGUGCAGGAUGUUCCGGAUCCAUGCUGGUCGCAAACCAACUAUGUUGGUUUUCUCAUGGCACGGCUCAUAUUUUUUGAUUGACCUACUUAAAUAAUUAUUAUGUUAGACUUCAUUUACCCGAGGGGUAAUAUAUCGAACGUCAUGCUGUAAUCUGACGUCAUAAUUGAUGUCAUAAUGGUCUCUUACCAGUCCAUGCGUCAACCGUUGUUUAUCGCAGAAUAUAUAGAGCUUUAUUUCCUUGUUUAUUAGUAAUCAAGGCGUAAGUCCGGGUGGUUAAAUACUGAAGCAUCAGAACGAUGAACCUUGGUAAAUUAGAAAAUGAAUAAAAAGAAGGCCUCGAUUGUUUUCAUUCUGACAUGCACAUGCACACUUCGGAGAAGGAGGGGUUUAUUGUUUUGCAGAUGUUUGUCAGUCGGUCGGUAUGCAGUCGGUUUCCGGAUAACUCAAAAACUCUUGAGCCUAGGAUCAUUAAGUUGAUAGAGAGAUUGGUCAUAUAAGUCCAACUUACAUAAAAUAUAUAGAAAAAAAAUGAAACUGUUCUAAAAAGAAAGAUUGGGGCCUCCGUGGCCGAGUGGUUAAGGUCGCUGACUUCAAACCACUUGCCCUUCAUCGAUGUGGGUUCGAGCCUCACUCGGGGCGUUGAAUUCUUCAUGUGAGGAAGCCAUCCAGCUGGCUUACGGAAGGUCUGUGGUUCUACCCAUGUGCCCGCUCGUGAUGACAUAAUGCACGGAGGGGCACCUGGGGUCUUCCUCCACCAUUAGAGCUGGAAAGUCGCCAUAUGACCUA
Long non-coding RNA from Mercenaria mercenaria, 2659 nucleotides. RefSeq lists it as uncharacterized. Lineage: Eukaryota; Metazoa; Mollusca; Bivalvia; Venerida; Veneridae. The transcript has 4 exons. The record is from RefSeq and is a predicted model, not a curated record.